GCUUAGAGAGGGGUCAAUGUCCUAUCAGCUAGUUGGCAGGGUAAUGGCCUACCAAGGCUAAGACGGGUAGCCGGCCUGAGAGGGUGGUCGGCCACACUGGGACUGAGACACUGCCCAGACUCCUACGGGAGGCUGCAGUCGAGAAUCUUUCGCAAUGCCCGAAAGGGUGACGAAGCGACGCCGCGUGUGGGAAGAAGGCCUUCGGGUUGUAAACCACUGUCGGGAGUUAAGAAAUGUAAGGGUGUUAAUAGCAUCCUUACUUGACUAAGGCUCCGGAGGAAGCCACGGCUAACUCUGUGCCAGCAGCCGCGGUAAUACAGAGGCGGCAAGCGUUGUUCGGAAUUAUUGGGCGUAAAGAGCACGUAGGCGGCUUUGUAAGUCAGUUGUGAAAGCCUUCCGCUUAACGGAAGAACAGCAUCUGAUACUGCAAGGCUAGAGUGCGGAAGGG
This 448-nucleotide ribosomal RNA is filed under the name uncultured Planctomycetota bacterium. RNAcentral's name for it is "bacterial SSU rRNA". It matches the Rfam family "Bacterial small subunit ribosomal RNA", at positions 217 to 656 of the family's 1533-position model. The record is from RNAcentral. Lineage: Bacteria; Pseudomonadati; Planctomycetota.